GUGAUUGGCCUUAGUGCCUAAAAACUAUAUCCCAAACACCUGUGAACUGUUGAACCGAAAGGUUCUUUUACAAACAUUGUGUAAUGAACGUCAUAACAUUAUAAACAAAACAACUUUCAACAACGGAUCUCUUGGCUCUCGCAUCGAUGAAGAACGCAGCGAAAUGCGAUAAGUAAUGUGAAUUGCAGAAUUCAGUGAAUCAUCGAAUCUUUGAACGCAACUUGCGCUCUCUGGUAUUCCGGAGAGCAUGCCUGUUUGAGUGUCAUGAUCUCUCAACCAAUAGGGUUUCUUAUUGGCUUGGAUCUGGGUGCUGCCAGCUUGUCUGGCUCGCCUUAAAGGAGUUAGCGAGUAUAGCAAUGUCGUCUGGCGUAAUAAGUUUCGCUGGGUUGACGUGUGAAGCACGCUUCUAAUCGCCCUCGGGCAAUUUUUGACUCUGGCCUCAAAUCAGGUAGGACUACCCGCUGAACUUAAGCAUAUCAAUAAGCGGAGGAAAAGAAACUAACAAGGAUUCCCCUAGUAGCGGCGAGUGAAGCGGGAAGAGCUCAAAUUUGUAAUCUGGCGUCUUUCAGGCGUCCGAGUUGUAAUCUAUAGAAGUGUUUUCCGUGCUGGACCAUGUCCAAGUCCCUUGGAACAGGGUAUCAAAGAGGGUGACAAUCCCGUACUUGAUAUGGCCACCAGUGCUCUGUGAUACACUUUCUACGAGUCGAGUUGUUUGGGAAUGCAGCUCAAAAUGGGUGGUAAAUUCCAUCUAAAGCUAAAUAUUGGCGAGAGACCGAUAGCGAACAAGUACCGUGAGGGAAAGAUGAAAAGCACUUUGGAAAGAGAGUUAAACAGUACGUGAAAUUGUUGAAAGGGAAACGAUUGAAGUCAGUCGUGUUCAUUGGACUCAGCCGGUUCUUCCGGUCUAUUUCCUUUGAACGGGUCAACAUCAGUUUUGUCCGGUGGAUAAAGGCAGAGAGAAAGUGGCUCCCUCGGGAGUGUUAUAGCUUUUUGUCACAUACACUGGAGGAGACUGAGGACUGCAGCUCGCCUUUUGGCCGGGGUUCGCCCACGUUCGAGCUUAGGAUGUUGACA
This 1074-nucleotide small RNA is filed under the name Vanrija albida. Its description in RNAcentral is "eukaryotic LSU rRNA". The stretch from base 435 to 1074 matches the Rfam family "Eukaryotic large subunit ribosomal RNA", at positions 1 to 631 of the family's 3401-position model. The record is from RNAcentral. Lineage: Eukaryota; Fungi; Basidiomycota; Tremellomycetes; Trichosporonales; Trichosporonaceae.